UCACUGGUCCUUCUUAGGACCACACAAUUCCCAACGUUAAAAUGUA
Schistocephalus solidus is the source of this 46-nucleotide non-coding RNA. The record is from Rfam. NCBI's taxonomy places the organism in Eukaryota, Metazoa, Platyhelminthes, Cestoda, Diphyllobothriidea, Diphyllobothriidae.